Molecule: ribosomal RNA, 251 nt
Filed under: uncultured prokaryote
Description: partial 16S rRNA
Rfam family: Bacterial small subunit ribosomal RNA
Source: RNAcentral
ACGGAGGAUCCGAGCGUUAUCCGGAUUUACUGGGUUUAAAGGGUGCGUAGGCGGGCCCCUCAGUCAGCGGUGAAAGUCUGCGGCUCAACCGUAGGAUUGCCGUUGAUACUGGGGGCCUUGGAUUCGGUCGAGGCGGGCGGAAUGCGUGGUGUAGCGGUGAAAUGCUUAGAUAUCACGCAGAACGCCGAUUGCGAAGGCAGCUCGCCGGGCCGAAAUCGACGCUGAGGCACGAAAGCGUGGGGAUCGAACAG